GUUGAAGGCGACAAUCCACCGUACACUUAAGAGAGACUGGAAAACCAAAAGAGAAAAGAGUGGAGAAAACUGAGGCAGAAAGAGAAGUAGAAUGAAUGCCUUAGUAGAAAUCAGAAAAUAUCCAUAUCCAAAAUAGAAAUUACAAUGAUUGAUUAACCUAUAAUCUUUCUAACUAAAACUAGGCAAGAGGAUUCAUGAAGUAUGUAAAUUCAGAAAGAGCUUUGAGCAAGUACAAUUGCAGCCUAUUUUGCUUCCACAAUAGCAAUGAGCUAACAAGACAAAAGGGGAAACGGGAAGGCGAUGGGGGUGGAAUGGGGAAUAUUGCCAUCAGUACAGAUUCCAAACCUGCCAAAUAUCUCCAGCCUAAAUUGAAAUCCUACAAGGCAGCAACUUCUUCUACUAGGUAGGGGACUCUCACCCACAUUUCUAAAAGCCUGUCCCUUCACUCCUUCAGUUUUAUUGCAUGACUAGAUUUGAGCCCGAAUUUUAGUGUUUAAAUUUAUAUUUAUGCAACUUGAUUUCGUCUAGUCCUUUCAGGGGGAAAAAAAAAGGUCACAUUAGAACUAACACUAAAUUAUGCAACUAAAAUUAAAUCGGAAAAAAUUCUGAAAAUCCUAAAAAGAAGUAUUAGUAUAAUUUAUUUAAAUUGUUAAAUUCAAGCUUCUAAUUAUUUAUAAAUUCCAGUGGUCAAAAUGCAGAUAAGGUACAGAAACAUACAGUAAUGUAAUCAAUUCCACAUCCGAUUUUCUUCUCAGACUCUGGAUGGUAAGGAAGCAACCUCUCCAGAAUAGUCUUUUCGUGCUCUGGACUCAAUCUAUCUCCACUUCCAUAUCUGC
This 836-nucleotide long non-coding RNA is filed under the name Gossypium barbadense (sea-island cotton). RNAcentral describes it as "long non-coding RNA (GBAR_LNC014106)". Lineage: Eukaryota; Viridiplantae; Streptophyta; Magnoliopsida; Malvales; Malvaceae. The record is from RNAcentral.